Long non-coding RNA from Oryctolagus cuniculus (rabbit), 2208 nucleotides. Lineage: Eukaryota; Metazoa; Chordata; Mammalia; Lagomorpha; Leporidae. The record is from Ensembl.
AGGGGCAGAAAUAUGGUGGCAGCUAGUGCUAGAGUGCGCCUGCUGACUGCUGGGCCAGGGUCCCACACUCUGCAGGGCUAGCUCAUCCUCACACGGCCUUGGGGAGGGACUACUCACUUAGGACAAGGAGAGAGGGGUUUUUGAGGCAUGGGAGGAAUCAUUAACACUGCCCAAGUGCUGUUCUAGUCCAUGCUGUGUUCUAAGCACUUGGCUUCUAUUACCUUGUUGACCUGGCAUGACAGCCCAUCUUACAGAUGGCUAAACUGACAGACACGGAUGUUUGGUGGCUCACUUAGGACACACAGCCAGGGCUGGCAGGUGAGGAGAGAUGCCCUGUCCUGGAGCUGGUGCUCCUAACCCUCAUGGUGCCUGCCUCUCCAGGCAGGUGCUGGGUCUCAGUGUUUGGGGGCUGGUGCCAUCCAUUGAUUGAUUGAUUGGUAGGAGAAUGAGUCCCUUGGAUAUAGUGUCCUACUUGUCAGGGCAUGGAAGGGUUGUGUGUAUGUGUGUGGGGGACAAGGCCCACAGGAACGCAGCCCAUGAGUGGGGCUGUGGAGGACAAGUGGGACCCCUCUGUGGCAGGAGGGCAGUGGGGCUGGGAGCUUCUCAGUGGAGCAGAGUUGGAAGCUGACCUUGUGGCACAGCCAUUGGAGGUUGUCAGUUUUCCCAGGUGUGCUGGCUGCAGAGAAUCCUGGGCCCUGGUUGGAUGUCUCACAUCUCACUCCCAGUUACUAAUGAAGGAGGGAUGGCCACUUCCCAGGCCACACUGGGUGUCCCCUGUGUCUCUUCCUGUCCUUCCAUAGGGUGCCUUGCUGUGAGUGAUGAUGACCCCACUCCAUUCUCUGCAGAGGUCACCGUGUGCAACCUCUGCACCAGCCCCCGAUGCAAUGAUGAUGCCCCCUGCCCUGUUCUCUGCAGAGGUCACCAUGCACAGCUUCUUUUUUUUAUUUUUUGACAGGCAGAGUGGACAGUGAGAGAGAGAGACAGAGAGAAAGGUCUUCCUUUGCCAUUGGUUCACCCUCCAAUGGCCGCCGUGGCCAGCAUACCACGCUGAUCCGAUGGCAGGAGCCAGGUGCUUCUGGUCUCCCAUGGGGUGCAGGGCCCAAGCACUUGGGCCAUCCUCCACUGCACUCCCUGGCCACAGCAGACAGCUGGCCCAGAAGAGGGGCAACCGGGACAGAAUCCGGCGCCCCGACCGGGACUAGAACCCGGCGUGCCGGCACUGCAAGGCGGAGGAUUAGCCUAGUGAGCCGCGGUGCUGGCCACCAUGCACAGCUUCUGCACCAGCCCCCGAUGCAGUGUCUGUCGCCCCCAUGCUGUCUGCAGACAAACCGCAGCUCAGGAUUUACCAUUCUGCACAGUGCUCCAGGCCCAAGGCCGCUUCCUCGCUGGCCCUGCCUGAGGCUCUGCUCUUAGCUGUGUGUUUCUAAUUCUGGAUUCCUUUCUCUGAGGCAGUGUCCCUGCUUAACAUGGGUCUGUUUCCCUCACAGCAGUACAAUACAGAAAAUGUUCAUGGUGGAGAAACUUAGCUUCACUUGCCAGAGCCACAGGCCUUCAUUUCGUUUGCAGAUCCCGCGGCUCCCCAGGAGGGACGGUGGCCUGGCCUUGGGCCUGUGCCUGGGUGUGAUGCAUUCUCCCUCCUCUUUGUGCCUCAUGGCCUCUUCUGAUUCAGGGCUUUUCCUAGGACUUUGCUUUCUGACAUCUUGAAUGGUUCUCACUUUUGUUUUUGAGUGUGUGCCAGAAUUUCCCAGCCGGGUUGGUGUCAGUCUCAUUGUGCCUCUGCUCUGCCAUCACCAUCAACAUCACUAUUGUUGUUAUCAUUGCAGAUAAACUGUAUGGCAACUUCCUGAGCUGGAAGAUGGAAGAAACCCUCGCCCAGUUCCCCCUGCAGCCUGGGCAAGCAGCCACCUUCACUGUCACCAUCAAAGCGAGCCUGGACUUCUCCUGCCAGGAGGGUCUCCUGCAGGACCUGAGUGAUGGUAAGCGGCUCCCUCAUUUCUGAGAGCUCACCUGCUCCCAGGUGUGUGUUGUAGUCAGCUCUCUGUGGCACCUGUGGGGAGCAACUCGGACUAGACUAAGUUACUGGAAUGAAGACUUAUUCUAUGCAUCUGCUCUCCCACAAUAUGGCGCUGAGAAGGGAGAAACAGCUUCUACACAGCUGCCUCCAGUUCAACCAAUAAACUGUAGGACCUACUCCUGAUUGGAGGAGAG